This 492-nucleotide ribosomal RNA is filed under the name uncultured bacterium. RNAcentral's name for it is "partial 16S ribosomal RNA". It matches the Rfam family "Bacterial small subunit ribosomal RNA", at positions 29 to 507 of the family's 1533-position model. The record is from RNAcentral.
AGUGAACGCUGGCGGUAGGCCUAACACAUGCAAGUCGAACGGCAGCACAGUAAGAGCUUGCUCUUACGGGUGGCGAGUGGCGGACGGGUGAGGAAUACAUCGGAAUCUACUUUUUCGUGGGGGAUAACGUAGGGAAACUUACGCUAAUACCGCAUACGACCUACGGGUGAAAGCAGGGGAUCUUCGGACCUUGCGCGAUUGAAUGAGCCGAUGUCGGAUUAGCUAGUUGGCGGGGUAAAGGCCCACCAAGGCGACGAUCCGUAGCUGGUCUGGGAGGAUGAUCAGCCACAUUGGAACUGAGACACGGUCCAGACUCCUACGGGAGGCAGCAGUGGGGAAUAUUGGACAAUGGGCGCAAGCCUGAUCCAGCCAUACCGCGCGGGUGAAGAAGGCCUUCGGGUUGUAAAGCCCUUUUUUUGGUAAAGAAAAGCAGCAGGUUAAUACCCCGCUGUUCUGACAGUACCCAAAGAAUAAGCACCGGCUAACUUCGUG